UAUUAUUUUAUAUAUUUUUAAUUAAUAAUUAAAUUAAAAUAAUUUAAAGUUAAAUAAAAUGGCAGUGUUUAUAAAAAUUAGAGGAUUUUGUUAUGUAAUAGAUAGUACACUUUAAAAUUUAUUUAUUUUUUUUUAUAUUGUAUAUUGUUGUAUUAAACUAAUAUAUUUAAUAAUUAUUAGUUUUAAUAUUAUUUUAAUAUAAAAUUCAAAUAAAUAUGCAUAUAAUAAGUGAAUUUUAAAUGAAAUACAAUUAAUUUAUUUAUUGGAUAAUUACUUGUAAUAAUAUUAUGAAAUUGGAUUUAAUAAUAAAUUAUAAUAAAUAUUAUUUUUGAAUUUUUUUUUAAAUAUGCACAUAUGCCCCGUCGUUUUUAUAAUUAAUUAAAAUAA
RNAcentral lists this ribosomal RNA (387 nucleotides) under Rabdophaga heterobia. Its description in RNAcentral is "partial 12S ribosomal RNA". Lineage: Eukaryota; Metazoa; Arthropoda; Insecta; Diptera; Cecidomyiidae. The record is from RNAcentral.